This 85-nucleotide transfer RNA is filed under the name Clostridia bacterium. Its description in RNAcentral is "tRNA-Tyr". It matches the Rfam family "tRNA". From Rfam's summary of the family: Transfer RNA (tRNA) molecules are approximately 80 nucleotides in length. Their secondary structure includes four short double-helical elements and three loops (D, anti-codon, and T loops). Lineage: Bacteria; Bacillati; Bacillota; Clostridia. The record is from RNAcentral.
GGGGGAUUUCCCGAGCGGCCAAAGGGGGCAGACUGUAAAUCUGUUGUCGACGACUUCGCUGGUCCGAAUCCAGCAUCCCCCACCA